UACGUAGGGGCCGAGCGUUGUCCGGAGUUAUUGGGCGUAAAGCGCGCGCAGGCGGCCUCGCGCGCCCGACGUGAAAGCCCCCGGCUUAACCGGGGAGGGUCGUUGGGGACGGCGGGGCUUGAGGGCGGGAGAGGUCGGUGGAAUUCCCGGUGUAGUGGUGAAAUGCGUAGAGAUCGGGAGGAACACCUGUGGCGAAGGCGGCCGACUGGGCCGACCCGUGACG
RNAcentral lists this ribosomal RNA (223 nucleotides) under uncultured bacterium. Its description in RNAcentral is "partial 16S ribosomal RNA". It matches the Rfam family "Bacterial small subunit ribosomal RNA", at positions 524 to 745 of the family's 1533-position model. The record is from RNAcentral.